RNAcentral lists this ribosomal RNA (468 nucleotides) under uncultured bacterium. RNAcentral's name for it is "partial 16S ribosomal RNA". It matches the Rfam family "Bacterial small subunit ribosomal RNA", at positions 28 to 507 of the family's 1533-position model. The record is from RNAcentral.
GACGAACGCUGGCGGCGUGCUUAACACAUGCAAGUCGAACGGAAGGGCCCUGCUUUUGUGGGGUGCUCGCGUGGCGAACGGGUGAGUUACCCGUGAGUCUCCCGCCCUUGACUUUGGGAUAACUUCAGGCGACUGCGGCUACUACAGGAUAGGAGCUCCUGCUGCAUGGUGGUGGUUGGACCGCUUCGGCGGUGGUGGAUGGACUUGCGGCUUAUCAGCUUGUUGGUGGGGUAUUUGCUUACCAAGGGUUCGACGGGUAGCCGGCCUGGGAGGGGGGCCGGCGACCAUGGGCCUGCGAGACGGCGCAGACGGGUAUGGGGGGCAGCAGUGGAGAAUAUGGCACAAUGGGCGGAAGCCUGAGGCGGCAACGCCGCGUGCGUGAUGACGGCCUUCGUGUUGUAAACCGCAUUCGGCUGUGACGAAGCGUGAGUGACGGUAAUGGGUAAAGAAGCACCGGCUAACUACGUG